Molecule: unclassified non-coding RNA, 334 nt
Filed under: soil metagenome
Description: partial contains 5.8S ribosomal RNA, internal transcribed spacer 2, and large subunit ribosomal RNA
Rfam family: 5.8S ribosomal RNA (bases 1-120)
Source: RNAcentral
GAUGAAGAACGUAGCGAAAUGCGAUAAGUAAUGUGAAUUGCAGAAUUCAGUGAAUCAUCGAAUCUUUGAACGCACAUUGCGCCCGCCAGUAUUCUGGCGGGCAUGCCUGUUCGAGCGUCAUUUCAACCAUCAAGCCCCCGGCUUGUGUUGGGGACCUGUGGCUGCCGCAGGCCCUGAAAACCAGUGGCGGGCUCGCUAGUCACUCCGAGCGUAGUAAUACAUCUCGCUCAGGGCGUGCUGCGGGUUCCGGCCGUUAAAAGCCUUAUUUACCCAAGGUUGACCUCGGAUCAGGUAGGAAGACCCGCUGAACUUAAGCAUAUCAAUAAGCGGAGGA